Molecule: ribosomal RNA, 1241 nt
Filed under: metagenome
Description: bacterial LSU rRNA
Rfam family: Bacterial large subunit ribosomal RNA
Source: RNAcentral
UGAAUACGAGAUGCUACGGCGUCGAAGCAGUCUAUGUCAUACUUCCAAGAAAAGCUCGCACUGUCAUAAACAAAUAAUGCCUGUACCAUAACCGACACAGGUGGGUAGGUAGAGUAUACUAAGGGGCGCGAGAUAACUCUCUCUAAGGAACUCGGCAAAAUGACUCCGUAACUUCGGGAGAAGGAGUGCCUUAUUUAUAAGGUUGCAAUAACAAGAUCCAAGCAACUGUUUAUCAAAAACACAGGUCUCCGCUAAGUCGUAAGACGAUGUAUGGGGGCUGACGCCUGCCCAGUGCCAGAAGGUUAAAGAAGUUGGUUAGCAUUCGCGAAGCUGAUAACUGAAGCCCUGGUGAACGGCGGCCGUAACGAUAACGGUCCUAAGGUAGCGAAAUUCCUUGUCGGGUAAGUUCCGACCCGCACGAAAGGCGUAAUGAUUUGGAUACUGUCUCGGAGAGGGGCUCGGUGAAAUAGACUUGUCUGUGAAGAUGCGGACUACCUGCACCAGGACAGAAAGACCCUAUGAAGCUUUACUGUAACUUGAGAUUGAAAUUGGACUUUACUUGCGCAGUAUAGGUGGGAGGCGUUGAUAAUAUUCUUGCGGGAUUAUUUGAGCCAUCAGUGAGAUACCACUCUUGUAAUGUUAGAUUUCUAACUUUGUAUCAUUAUCUGGUCAAAGGACAGUUUCAGGCGGGCAGUUUGACUGGGGCGGUCGCCUCCUAAACGGUAACGGAGGCGCACAAAGGUUUCCUCUGAACGGGUAGAAAUCGUAUCUAGAGUGUAAAGGCAUAAGGAAGCUUGACUGUGAGACCUACAAGUCGAGCAGGGACGAAAGUCGGUCUUAGUGAUCUGACGGUGCUGAGUGGAAAGGCCGUCACUCAACGGAUAAAAGUUACUCUAGGAUAACAGGCUGAUCUCCCCCAAGAGUUCACAUCGACGGGGAGGUUUGGCACCUCGAUGUCGGCUCAUCGCAUCCUGGGGCGGUAGUACGUCCCAAGGGUUGGGCUGUUCGCCCAUGAAAGCGGUACGCGAGCUGGGUUCAGAACGUCGUGAGACAGUUCGGUCCAUAUCCGGUGUAGGCGUUAGAAUAUUGAGAGGAGCCUUCUUUAGUACGAGAGGACCGAGAAGGACAUACCUCUGGUGUACCAGUUAUCGUGCCAACGGUAAACGCUGGGUAGCUAUGUAUGGAGUGGAUAACCGCUGAAAGCAUCUAAGUGGGAAGCCCACCUCAAGAUAAGUAUUCUC